Callithrix jacchus (white-tufted-ear marmoset) is the source of this 1931-nucleotide non-coding RNA. The record is from RefSeq and is a predicted model, not a curated record. NCBI's taxonomy places the organism in Eukaryota, Metazoa, Chordata, Mammalia, Primates, Cebidae.
ACGCCGCACUCCCCGGCGAGGGCGUGCGGAGCUUGGCGCUCCGGGGUUAGCCCCUGAGCCUGUGCGACUGCGCGAGAAGACGUUCCGCUUUGAAAUGCAGCGGGAUUUGCUGCGUUUCCCGCUGUCUUCAGCGGUGCGGGUGAAGUUGGUGUCUGCGGGUUUCCAGACUGCUGAGGAACUCCUGGAGGUGAAACCCUCCGAGCUUAGCAAAGAAGUUGGGAUAUCUAAAGAUGAAGCCUUAGAAACUCUGCAAAUUAUAAGAAGAGAAUGUCUCACAAAUAAACCAAGAUAUGCUGGUACAUCUGAGUCAGGCAAGAAGUGUACAGCACUGGAACUUCUUGAGCAGGAGCAUAUCCAGGGCUCCAUAAUUACCUUCUGUUCAGCACUAGAUAAUAUUCUUGGGGGUGGAGUACCCUUAAUGAAAACAACAGAAAUUUGUGGUGCACCAGGCAUUGGAAAAACACAAUUAUGUAUGCAGUUGGCAGUAGAUGUGCAGAUACCGGAAUGUUUUGGAGGAGUGGCAGGUGAAGCAGUUUUUAUUGAUACAGAGGGAAGUUUUAUGGUUGAUAGAAUGGUAGACCUUGCUACUGCCUGCAUUCAGCACCUUCACCUUAUAGCAGAAAAACACAAGGGAGAGGAACAUCGAAAAGCUUUGGAGGGUUUCACUCUUGAAAAUAUUCUUUCCCAUAUUUAUUAUUUUCGCUGUCGUGACUACACAGAGUUACUGGCACAAGUUUAUCUUCUUCCAGAUUUCCUUUCAGAACACUCACAGGUUCGAUUGGUGAUAGUGGAUGGUAUUGCUUUUCCAUUUCGUCAUGACCUAGAUGACCUGUCUCUUCGUACUCGGUUAUUAAAUGGCCUAGCCCAGCAAAUGAUCAGUCUUGCGAAUAAUCACAGAUUAGCUGUAAUUUUAACCAAUCAGAUGACAACAAAGAUUGAUAAAAAUCAGGCCUUGCUCAUUCCUGCUUUAGGGGAAAGUUGGGGACAUGCUGCUACAAUACGGCUAAUCUUUCAUUGGGACCUAAAGCAAAGGUUGGCAACAUUGUACAAGUCACCCAGCCAGAAGGAAUCCACAGUACUGUUUCAAAUCACAGUCAGUAUUAUUUGAUGAGAGUGGGAUUUUUAUAUUGGUGGGCAGUAAUUAUCUAAAGAGAAUUUACAGCUUGCUUUUGUUAACUUCUUUAGGCAGCAAGCAUAUUUGAGGACAGCUUUUGAUGCUUACAUUGUCCCCAAAAUAGUAAUAUACAGAAUAUUGUAGUCACAAAUGGACUGAAAUUUAUUCUUAAGAACAGAGGAAAUACUUAUUUUCGGGUAGCAUGUUCCAUGCCAUAUGUAAUGUCAGGAUAUUAAAAAUCUUUAAAGAGAAAGUUGUUGAAGAUUUCCAGAAAAGAAAAACAACUAAUAUUACUUAUUUUGGUCUUGUAGGUAUUAUAGAGCUAUUGUAGCCACCAAAUAUAGCCCACUUUAAGAUGUUAAUUUUUCUGUGAAUUUACAUCAUAGAACACAUAUUUUUGGAUAAAAUAUGCAUAUUUACCAAUAAUGUUGAGAACCAUGUAUAUUUUUGGCAUCUCAUUUUUCUUUUUUUUUUUUUUUUUGAGAUGGAGCCUCGCUGUAUUUUGCCCAGGUUGGAGUGCAGUGGCGUGAUUUGGCUUACUGCAAACUCUGGCCCACUGGUUCAAGCAAUUCUUCUGCCUCAGCCUCCCUAGUAGCUGGGAUUACAGCCUCAGGGAUUUAGAGAUACUGUUAUUACUUCUGCAUGUUCAUUGCAGACAGAAGAUUCCUUGAAUACCCGGAAACGGUCACGAGAUGCAGAGGAAGAAUUUUAAUCCAGAAGCAAAUCUCCAAGUAUAUAAAUUUACUGAUGUUGUGAAAUCAAUGUGUACAAGUAGACUUGUUACUGUAAGAUGUAAAUAAACUAUGGCAUGAAUGAA